RNAcentral lists this ribosomal RNA (253 nucleotides) under uncultured bacterium. Its description in RNAcentral is "partial 16S ribosomal RNA". It matches the Rfam family "Bacterial small subunit ribosomal RNA", at positions 524 to 776 of the family's 1533-position model. The record is from RNAcentral.
UACAGAGGUCCCGAGCGUUGUUCGGAUUCACUGGGCGUAAAGGGUGCGUAGGUGGUGAGGUAAGUCGGAUGUGAAAGCUCGGAGCUCAACUCCGAAAUGGCAUUGGAAACUACCUUGCUCGAGGGUUGGAGGGGGGACUGGAAUGCUUGGUGUAGCAGUGAAAUGCGUAGAUAUCAAGCGGAACACCAGUGGCGAAGGCGAGUCCCUGGACAACUCCUGACACUGAGGCACGAAAGUCAGGGGAGCAAACGGG